GGGGAUCCUUCUUUUGGCUGAUACUGCAAGAUGAAUACAGUUGCAUUUUUUUCCAAGGGACCUUUUCUUGCAGGAUGUUUGUCAGAACUGAGUGACUUGUCGGGUAGCAGCACUAUGACCUGAGUAGGUUACAUAACGUCUCUGAGCUUCGUUUCCCGCUUCUGUGCUUCUGUCGUUUGGAGAUACAUCAGCCUUGCAAGGUGGUGGAAGGAGCAAACUUUCAAAUUUUCCUCAAAGCCAGUGCCAUCGAAGAACUGGAAGCUCCAGGGGUCACCACAAGGGAAACAAUCUACAAGAUCCAGAAGAAAAAGACGGAAGAGAAGUCCUAUUCCAGUAGGCGAUUGCUUCAUAAUACAACAUCCCCAAACUUAUUAGCAUUAAACAUCAACAACAUAUAUUUGCUCAUAAUUCCAUUAUUUAUUUAGUAUUUGGUGAGGAAAAAUUGUCUCUGCUCUACCCAGCUUGGGCAGCUGGAAUCAUCUGAGGUCUCAAGCAAAAUAUGCCUGAUUGAUGCUGGUAUUGAUUUUCUCCUAUGUUACCUCCUAGGAGCUUUAUAAUUUUGCAUUUUGCAUUUAGGUCUAUGAUCCAUCUGUGUCAUUUUUCACUUGUGGUCCAGUCCCUCUAGGACAAAGUGUUGAAAAGCAUAAUUUUAUUUUUGAGUUUACAUACAAUAAAAAUUGACUUUUUGGAGGGGUGUUAAAA
This 702-nucleotide long non-coding RNA is filed under the name Ictidomys tridecemlineatus (thirteen-lined ground squirrel). RNAcentral describes it as "lncRNA (ENSSTOG00000031282.1)". The record is from RNAcentral. Lineage: Eukaryota; Metazoa; Chordata; Mammalia; Rodentia; Sciuridae.